UGCGAGUGGCGAACGGGUGAGUAACACGUGGGCAAUCUGCCCAAAAGUGGGGGAUAACACUUGGAAACAGGUGCUAAUACCGCAUCAACCGGCUGACCGCAUGGUCGGCCGGGCAAAGACGGCGUCAGCUGUCGCUUUUGGAUGAGCCCGCGGCGUAUUAACUAGUUGGUAAGGUAACGGCUUACCAAGGUGAUGAUACGUAGCCGAACUGAGAGGUUGAUCGGCCACAUUGGGACUGAGACACGGCCCAAACUCCUACGGGAGGCAGCAGUAGGGAAUCUUCCACAAUGGACGCAAGUCUGAUGGAGCAACGCCGCGUGUAUGAAGAAGGUCUUCGGAUCGUAAAAUACUGUUGUCAGAGAAGAACACGUGAUAGAGUAACUGCUAUGGCGCUGACGGUAUCUGACCAGCAAGUCACGGCUAACUACGUGCCAGCAGCCGCGGUAAUACGUAGGUGGCAAGCGUUGUCCGGAUUUAUUGGGCGUAAAGGGAACGCAGGC
This 500-nucleotide ribosomal RNA is filed under the name Ligilactobacillus acidipiscis. RNAcentral's name for it is "bacterial SSU rRNA". It matches the Rfam family "Bacterial small subunit ribosomal RNA", at positions 90 to 576 of the family's 1533-position model. The record is from RNAcentral. Lineage: Bacteria; Bacillati; Bacillota; Bacilli; Lactobacillales; Lactobacillaceae.